Molecule: ribosomal RNA, 253 nt
Filed under: uncultured bacterium
Lineage: Bacteria
Description: partial 16S ribosomal RNA
Rfam family: Bacterial small subunit ribosomal RNA
Source: RNAcentral
UACAGAGGGGGCAAGCGUUAUUCGGAAUUAUUGGGCGUAAAGGGCGCGUAGGCGGCUUUUCAAGUGACGGGUGAAAUCCCUCGGCUUAACCGAGGAACUGCCUGUCAGACUGGAAGGCUUGAGACCGGGAGAGGUGAGUGGAAUUCCCAGUGUAGCGGUGAAAUGCGUAGAUAUUGGGAGGAACACCAGUGGCGAAGGCGGCUCACUGGACUGGUAUUGACGCUGAGGUGCGAAAGCGUGGGGAGCAAACAGG